GAUGAACGCUGGCGGCGUGCCUAAUACAUGCAAGUCGAGCGAACAGACGAGGAGCUUGCUCUUCUGACGUUAGCGGCGGACGGGUGAGUAACACGUGGAUAACCUACCUAUAAGACUGGGAUAACUUCGGGAAACCGGAGCUAAUACCGGAUAAUAUAUUGAACCGCAUGGUUCAAUAGUGAAAGACGGUUUUGCUGUCACUUAUAGAUGGAUCCGCGCUGCAUUAGCUAGUUGGUAAGGUAACGGCUUACCAAGGCAACGAUGCGUGGCCGACGUGAGAGGGUGGUCGGCCACACUGGAACGGAACCACGGUCCAGACCCCUACGGGAGGCAGCAGUAGGGAAUCGUCCGCAAUGGGCUAAAGCUUGACGUAACACCGCCACGUGAGUGAUGAAGGUCUUGCGAUCGUAAUACUCUGUUAUUAGUGAAGAACAAUUGUGUAAGUAACUGUGCACUUCUUGACGGUACCGAAUCAGAAAGCCCCGGCUAACUACGUG
This 497-nucleotide ribosomal RNA is filed under the name uncultured bacterium. RNAcentral's name for it is "partial 16S ribosomal RNA". It matches the Rfam family "Bacterial small subunit ribosomal RNA", at positions 28 to 507 of the family's 1533-position model. The record is from RNAcentral.